UCUCUGUAGCUCAGUUGGUUAGAGCGCUGAACCGGGACCACAGGGGCGCAGGUUGGAUUCAUGCCAGGAC
Non-coding RNA from Paramuricea clavata, 70 nucleotides. NCBI's taxonomy places the organism in Eukaryota, Metazoa, Cnidaria, Anthozoa, Malacalcyonacea, Plexauridae. The record is from the annotation of a GenBank genome assembly.